UGAGGAAUAUUGGUCAAUGGACGAGAGUCUGAACCAGCCAAGUAGCGUGCAGGAUGACGGCCCUAUGGGUUGUAAACUGCUUUUGUUUGGGAAUAAUCGACAUUACGUGUAAUGUUUUGCAUGUACCAUUCGAAUAAGGACCGGCUAAUUCCGUGCCAGCAGCCGCGGUAAUACGGAAGGUCCAGGCGUUAUCCGGAUUUAUUGGGUUUAAAGGGAGCGUAGGCCGUUUGGUAAGCGUGUUGUGAAAUGUAGGAGCUCAACUUCUAGAUUGCAGCGCGAACUGUCAGACUUGAGUGCGCACAACGUAGGCGGAAUUCAUGGUGUAGCGAUGAAAUGCUUAGAUAUCAUGAAGAACUCCGAUUGCGAAGGCAGCUUACGGGAGCGCAACUGACGCUGAAGCUCGAAGGUGCGGGUAUCGAACAGG
RNAcentral lists this ribosomal RNA (424 nucleotides) under Verrucomicrobiota bacterium. RNAcentral describes it as "Verrucomicrobia bacterium partial 16S ribosomal RNA". It matches the Rfam family "Bacterial small subunit ribosomal RNA", at positions 355 to 776 of the family's 1533-position model. Lineage: Bacteria; Pseudomonadati; Verrucomicrobiota. The record is from RNAcentral.